UACGUAGGGUGCGAGCGUUAAUCGGAAUUACUGGGCGUAAAGCGUGCGCAGGCGGUGAUGUAAGACCGAUGUGAAAUCCCCGGGCUUAACCUGGGAACUGCAUUGGUGACUGCAUUGCUGGAGUAUGGCAGAGGGGGGGUGGAAUUCCACGUGUAGCAGUGAAAUGCGUAGAGAUGUGGAGGAACACCGAUGGCGAAGGCAAUCCCCUGGGCCUGCACUGACGCUGAGAAGCGAAAGCGUGGGGAGCGAACAGG
Molecule: ribosomal RNA, 254 nt
Filed under: uncultured bacterium
Lineage: Bacteria
Description: partial 16S ribosomal RNA
Rfam family: Bacterial small subunit ribosomal RNA
Source: RNAcentral